GAAACGACUCUCGGCUACGGAUAUCUCGGCUCUUGCAUCGAUGAAGAACGUAGCGAAAUGCGAUACUUGGUGUGAAUUGCAGAAUCCCGUGAACCAUCGAGUCUUUGAACGCAAGUUGCGCCCGAAGCCACUAGGCCGAGGGCACGCCUGCCUGGGUGUCACAC
RNAcentral lists this ribosomal RNA (164 nucleotides) under Vigna umbellata var. gracilis. RNAcentral describes it as "partial 5.8S ribosomal RNA". It matches the Rfam family "5.8S ribosomal RNA". From Rfam's summary of the family: 5.8S ribosomal RNA (5.8S rRNA) is a component of the large subunit of the eukaryotic ribosome. Lineage: Eukaryota; Viridiplantae; Streptophyta; Magnoliopsida; Fabales; Fabaceae. The record is from RNAcentral.